CCCCGGCGCCACAAGUGGUUAUCACGAUUAUUGGGCCUAAAGCGUUCGUAGCCGGUUUGGUAAAUCUCUUGUGAAAUUGUUCGGCUUAACCGGACAGCGUGCAGGAGACACUACCAGACUCGAGACCGGGAGGGGUUAGAAGUAUUCCAUGGGGACUGGUAAAAUGGGAUAAUCCAUGGAAGACUACCGAUGGCGAAGGCAUCUAACCAGAACGGAUCUGACGGUGAGGAACGAAAGCCAGGGGAGCGAACCGG
RNAcentral lists this ribosomal RNA (254 nucleotides) under uncultured bacterium. RNAcentral's name for it is "partial 16S ribosomal RNA". It matches the Rfam family "Archaeal small subunit ribosomal RNA", at positions 474 to 727 of the family's 1478-position model. The record is from RNAcentral.